UGGGGAAUUUUCCGCAAUGGGCGAAAGCCUGACGGACCAAUGCCGCGUGGAGGUGGAAGGCCUACGGGUCGUCAACUUCUUUUCUCGGAGAAGAAACAAUGACGGUAUCUGAGGAAUAAGCAUCGGCUAACUCUGUGACAG
This 141-nucleotide ribosomal RNA is filed under the name uncultured bacterium. RNAcentral's name for it is "partial 16S rRNA". It matches the Rfam family "Bacterial small subunit ribosomal RNA", at positions 355 to 511 of the family's 1533-position model. The record is from RNAcentral.